GUAUAAUUAACAAUAUUAAUAUGUUCUCACAAUAUAAAUU
Molecule: small RNA, 40 nt
Filed under: Plasmodium falciparum 3D7
Lineage: Eukaryota; Apicomplexa; Aconoidasida; Haemosporida; Plasmodiidae
Description: Pfa-raR6165a
Source: RNAcentral